AUCAGUGGAAUCACAUUGCAGUAGAGGGACCAGUCCCUGGCUUUAUAUCAGUCCAGUCUGACCCGUCUCUGAAGCCGCAGCAUUCAAAGAACAUUUACAGCAGUUUGAGGAUAAAUGUGUCUCUGCUGUUGUUUACUGACUUUUUCAUCUCAGCCAAGUAAACCUUCUGCUUUACAGCAGAUACACUCGUACCAGCUGAUGUGAAGCAGCCAGCAACGUCUGUUUCUGAAGAUUCCUGAUUGGUUGACAUGACGUUCUUCAGUCUGCUAUUAGGAAAGCAGGAAUGAUCCCCAGUGGAAGCACUGGUUUCACUGGUUUCUCUGGAGAGUCUGCAUCCAGCUGAGCUCUGAGGACCAGGGCGUGACACAGCUCUGCCACCGAGCCGUCCCCCCCAACACACACCACCCUGACAGACAGGUGGAGACGGACCAGUGUCAGGACGGGUUAUACAGAGCUCAUUGAAAAGCGAGAAGGUUCAUCUGCAGAGUUUGUGUUUGCCGUAAAUUUGAAGUGAACAGACUCCGCCCCCUCCCCCUCCUCCUGUGUAUGGGAUUACCUGAAGCUCCGGUCGCCACGGUGACAGCCAGCCUAAUUGGCAAAUCUCCUUCAGGGUGUUGUACCAGGUGUUUGUGUGCUCGGCAGAGGCAUUGUGGAGGUGUAGCGUGUCCUCCUCCAGCCUCCUCCCUUUCCUCCUGCAGCAGAACAGAGCCACACCGAGCACAGCUCCCCCGGACUCCUGGCCCGCUGCUCGCCGCCGCUUCACCUUCACUGCAAACACGUCCUGUAGCAGCAUCACACCUGGCUGCAGCACGCACGCCUCACCUGCAGAGCUUGCUGGAGAUGUAGCUGGCCUGAAAAUUGAGCUUCUGCUGCUGCUUGUAAUCACACAGAAUGAAGUGUCUUUCUGGAGGCAUCUGCUGUGAUCAACGCUGCAGGAAACCAACAUGGAUGAGAUACUGCAUGAAGGAUGGUGGUGGCCUACACCUACAGGUCCUGGUUAACUUUCCUGCCCCCGAUAAAGAGCCAUGGGAAGCAUUCAGAUUGUCCCCCAUGCAGUGGAUGUGCGUGUCCAGAUGUCAAGUUUCAGGUGGUCUCAACAUGAUAGAAGUUCUCCAUUACAGCACCAGCUGCCUCGACAUACACACAGUCUGUCUGCCUGUCAGCAGUGAUCACCAUGACAACGCGUCACCGCAGUAACUGACCUGUGGGGUUCUCGGGGGUGAUGGGGGUCCAGAUCUGAAGGAACCUCAGAAGACCCACUCACCUGUGCUCUUCCUCAUCAUCUUCCUCCACCUGCUGCUGUGCUUCUUCCUCUUCUUCUUCUUCCCGCUUCUCCUUCUGCUUCUUCUUCUUCUUCCCGCUCCGUUUCUC
Molecule: long non-coding RNA, 1371 nt
Organism: Seriola aureovittata
Lineage: Eukaryota; Metazoa; Chordata; Actinopteri; Carangiformes; Carangidae
Exons: 8
Source: RefSeq, a predicted model, not a curated record